AGUUGGCAGGAUGGCAGCAGCAGACACACAGGGUGGUUAAGAACAACAAACACAGGCAAACCACUUCAAUAGAACAUGGCUGGCGGCCAUAUGGACAUAUUUGAAUCCAACAAUUAAUUCAGCAAAGAAAGCUGCUUGUGGCAAGUUUUGAAUGUGCCAUUCCAGGUAGUGCUUUGAUGAUAAAUGAGGAGAAGAUUGCAAAGAAAAUGACAGCAACAUUUAUAAAAGGGUCUCAUGAAUAUAACACGAUGCCCAGCACAUAGAAAGCAUACAAUAAGUGUUUGUUGGAUAACUGUGGACAGUUCAGUCGACCAGCAAAUUCCUCUUAGGACUCUAGAUGCACGGAGAGUGGCCAGAUUAAUACAGACUGGCAAAAGAAGAACUUGGCAAAGUGAUUUGAUCACACACUUCUCACCCUCACAUCUCCUGACAGUUCCCCUAAUCCCUGCCCCACUUCCCCGCCAUGGGCUUCCAUCAGGAAACUCCUUGAUAUCAUCUUCGAGAAGAAAACUGAGGCAUAGAACAUUUGGGAAUGAAUCUAAGACUACACAUCUAGAAUAGCAGAGUUACAGGAAUGCAGAUGUGAUUCCUAUGGAUGAGGGUAACCUAGAGGCUAGAAGAACAAUAGGACAGAAGAAGCCUGGGUCCCUGAACAACCUUGUGGAGCAUAGACACCUACGUGGCCUGGACUGCCAGCUCACAAUGGGCCUCUCUGUGAGAGAAGGAAACUUCCCUCUUGUUUAAGCAACUGUGCUUUUGAGAAUCUCUUGGUCUAUACCCUAAUGAAUAAGGCCAUCAUAAAUGGAUAUCAAAGUAAGGAAA
RNAcentral lists this long non-coding RNA (822 nucleotides) under Homo sapiens (human). RNAcentral describes it as "long intergenic non-protein coding RNA 2269". Lineage: Eukaryota; Metazoa; Chordata; Mammalia; Primates; Hominidae. The record is from RNAcentral.